CAAAAUUACUAGUCAAAAAGGAUACACUGGUCAAGUGACUUGUCGAUGCGACCAGGGCGAGAAGAAGACUGAUGUGGUUAAGGAGAAAGAUUACGGCGGAUGUUGCAGCAAAAA
Formica exsecta is the source of this 114-nucleotide long non-coding RNA. RefSeq lists it as uncharacterized. Lineage: Eukaryota; Metazoa; Arthropoda; Insecta; Hymenoptera; Formicidae. The transcript is spliced from 2 exons. The record is from RefSeq and is a predicted model, not a curated record.